RNAcentral lists this long non-coding RNA (816 nucleotides) under Salmo salar (Atlantic salmon). RNAcentral's name for it is "lncRNA (ENSSSAG00000121741.1)". The record is from RNAcentral. Lineage: Eukaryota; Metazoa; Chordata; Actinopteri; Salmoniformes; Salmonidae.
GUUUCUCUCCUCUGUAGACAGCCUCCAGUGACAGAAUAACUCUGUUUCUCUCCUCUGUAGACAGCCUCCAGUGACAGAAUAACUCUGGUUCUCUCCUCUGUAGACAGCCUCCAGUGACAGAAUAACUCUGUUUCUCUCCUCUGUAGACAGCCUCCAGUGACAGAAUAACUCUGUUUCUCUCCUCUGUAGACAGCCUCCAGUGGCAGAAUAACUCUGUUUCUCUCCUCUGUAGACAGCCUCCAGUCUGCAUGAGAGUGUAUGAAUGUGUUUCUCUGCUAUGAUCCAUAGAGGAAUCUCUCACUCUCUUUUUCUCACUGAUCUCAUUUCCUCUCUCACACCCUCCCUCUCUCUCUACUGUGAUGUAGGAACAAAGAUGUGAUUGGUUAAGGAGGAAGAGGGAGGGGCUGUCAGACAUAACAUCUGGUAGGAGGGUUUGAACUGGUAGAGAUAGAGAGAGAGAGAUGCAGACUUGGACACACACCAUUAUAUCAGGACCUAUAGACACCUGGACCAACCUGGAGAGAACACAGCAUUAUAUCAGGACCUAUAGACACCUGGACCAACCUGGAGAGAACACAGCAUUAUAUCAGGACCUAUAGACACCUGGACCAACCUGGAGAGAACACAGUAUUAUAUCAGGACCUAUAGACACCUGGACCAACCUGGAGAGAACACACUAUUAUAUCAGGACCUAUAGACACCUGGACCAACCUGGAGAGAACACAGCAUUAUAUCAGGACCUAUAGACGCCUGGACCAACCUGGAGAGAACACAGUAUUAUAUCAGGACCUAUAGACACCUGGACCAACCUGGAGA